AGGGCCUGCGAAAUUCUAAUUCACAUCAACUGAAUGCAACUCAAUCACUUUCAUUAAGCUAAAACCCU
This 68-nucleotide transfer RNA is filed under the name Chondrodactylus laevigatus (Fischer's thick-toed gecko). RNAcentral describes it as "tRNA-Ala". The record is from RNAcentral. Lineage: Eukaryota; Metazoa; Chordata; Lepidosauria; Squamata; Gekkonidae.